UACANNAAGAAACACUGCUACGUGUAGCAGCUUGACGGUACUGUAAGAAUAAGGAUCGGCUAACUCCGUGCCAGCAGCCGCGGUAAUACGGAGGAUCCAAGCGUUAUCCGGAAUCAUUGGGUUUAAAGGGUCCGUAGGUGGAUAAUUAAGUCAGAGGUGAAAUCCUGCAGCUCAACUGUAGAAUUGCCUUUGAUACUGGUUAUCUUGAGUUAUUAUGAAGUAGUUAGAAUAUGUAGUGUAGCGGUGAAAUGCAUAGAUAUUACAUAGAAUACCAAUUGCGAAGGCAGAUUACUAAUAAUAUACUGACACUGAUGGACUA
This 319-nucleotide ribosomal RNA is filed under the name Formosa sp. Asnod2D12. RNAcentral describes it as "bacterial SSU rRNA". It matches the Rfam family "Bacterial small subunit ribosomal RNA", at positions 439 to 756 of the family's 1533-position model. The record is from RNAcentral. Lineage: Bacteria; Pseudomonadati; Bacteroidota; Flavobacteriia; Flavobacteriales; Flavobacteriaceae.